GACGAACGCUGGCGGCGUGCUUAACACAUGCAAGUCGAACGGAAAGGCCUGCUUUCCCUUGUGGUUUGCGUGUCCUCGAGCGGCGAACGGGUGAGUAACUCGUGAGUGACUUGCCCCCAACUUGGGUAUAAGCCCGGGAACCUGGGUCUAAUUACCGAUAGGACUGCAGGGUGGUGUCUUUGGUGGAAAUCGAUCUUCUAGUGGUUGGGGAUGCGCUCGCGGCCUAUCAGCUUGUUGGUGGGGUAAUGGCCUACCAAGGCGGCGACGGGUAGCCGGCCUGGGAGCGUGGACGGCGGCAUUGAGACAGGGAUACGGCCCAGACGGCUGCGAGAGGCAGCGAAGGGUAAUAUAGGGGAGUGAGCGGGAGCCAGAUGCAGCGAGGCAGCGUGGGAGAUGACGGCGUUGGGAUUGUAAACUCCUUGCGAACAAGAGGAAGCCACCUGGUUGGAAGGGUGGUGACGGUAGUGGUAGAAGAAGCACCGGCUAACUACGUG
RNAcentral lists this ribosomal RNA (494 nucleotides) under uncultured bacterium. Its description in RNAcentral is "partial 16S ribosomal RNA". It matches the Rfam family "Bacterial small subunit ribosomal RNA", at positions 28 to 507 of the family's 1533-position model. The record is from RNAcentral.